CUUUUCCCAGUUCCAGUAUCAUAGGAUGAUGAAAUCUAAGCAAACCUUUAAAAGUGGGGCGGGGAGAGAGAGAGAGGAGUGGGAAGGUUUUAUUAUUUGUUUUGGCUGGAAGGAAAUUACUUGAAGUGGAAGAACAGGACAGAGACAGUAGGAGCCUGUUCAAGAAUGGGGUUGGUACUAAACUGGGGGCUUUUGGAUCCUUUAGUUGAGGCUGGCUCUCUGCAAACUUCUUAGCAUCAAGCUGCACCAUCUUCUCACACAGCUUCACCUCUCCCAAGAUGGUCCUGAACUGGGGCUGGUUAACGCAGAUUCAAACCAGGUUGCUGGGGGAUAAUGAAGGAAGACCAGCCCUUCUACCUGCAACGGGGAGGCAAACUGCUUAUACACCUGCAGAAAAUUAUUUGAGAACAAAGAGGAAUUCAACAUCUUUCCUUCCAGAUGAGUUAAUAUGAUGCAGCUGUGAGGUGUGUGUAUUUUCUGUACCCUGAUUAUAGAAAACGACUAACAUUGUAGGUUUUCUAGCCUCCUACACAUUGAGCAAAUACAAAGGUGCUAGAUAGAACUAUGAGAAAAACGCAAAGGCAUCCAGUUUCUCCAAUGUGAAACCCAGGUUUGGGCUAUCCCCC
Molecule: long non-coding RNA, 626 nt
Filed under: Mus spicilegus (steppe mouse)
Lineage: Eukaryota; Metazoa; Chordata; Mammalia; Rodentia; Muridae
Description: lncRNA (ENSMSIG00000026689.1)
Source: RNAcentral